Molecule: small nucleolar RNA, 92 nt
Organism: Mercurialis annua (annual mercury)
Lineage: Eukaryota; Viridiplantae; Streptophyta; Magnoliopsida; Malpighiales; Euphorbiaceae
Product: small nucleolar RNA Z161/Z228
Exons: 1
Source: RefSeq, a predicted model, not a curated record
AAUUCAGGUGAUGAAAUUGGAUAAUAUCUCACGACGGUCGUCUGAGACAAUUUUGUGUCGUCCUUGAUGAGUGAUCCAAGCUUCUGAUGAUU